Pelobates cultripes (western spadefoot toad) is the source of this 912-nucleotide non-coding RNA. The record is from the annotation of a GenBank genome assembly. Lineage: Eukaryota; Metazoa; Chordata; Amphibia; Anura; Pelobatidae.
CUGACUAUUGCCAGUUGAUAAAGCCCUGUGUGGCGAAACGCGUUUUGGCUAUUUUAUAUAUUUUUUACUGUACUAAUAAAGGAAUAGUGGCUUCUUUAUAAUAAUUUUGCCAUAUACCUUUUUUAUUUCACUUUUAAAAAUUUCCUGUUACCUGGUCAUAUAUUAUCUUGGAGCCUACCCACGACCAAGAAUCCUGGGUGGGGAUUGUACCACCUAUGCGAUUAUACUGAGCAGUCUAUCCUGCUCAUCCGAAUGUGAGUAUUUUUAUUCUUUUAUUCCAUUUUAUUUUACUUAUAUCCAGUGAGCACUAUAUUCUGCUUUUAUCUCCUUUCUAUAACCGAGGAAUUACCUUCACCUAUAUCCUACCAGUGGGGGAUAAACGCCACUGAACGCCCAACAUACUAGAGUGAGUCUAUGCUCUGAGAUAGGUGAGUGUAUUACCUACCUAUUAUUCUUCUUAGCAAUAGACAGUCUACACUAUUGGAUCGUCUUUGUUGUUUAUAUUUUCCAUGUUCACCUCCGAAUCAAGACUCCUCUAAAGACUAGAAGAUCCAGUCUCUUAUUGGACUCACUACCCUCAUAUACUUACCGGAACCUGAAAGAAAAAUAUACCAAGUACUGUAACUAUCAUUCAUUCAUUUGAACUCACCAAAAGUAUAUCAAGUAUUUGGACUAUCAUUUUUUUUAUAUAUUUAUUAAAUACUUUUUUUUAUAUAUUUCUCUUUAUUUAUGUUUUAAAGUGUUUGUUGUUACAAUAUAUUUAUCCCUUUCCAUUUGUUAUUUAUGUAGCGCAACCUAUUAUUCCUGUUUUUGCCAUUUCUCCUUUGAGGACUUUAGAGGGAACCUCAUAUCUAUAGGUUGCAGCUUUCUACUUGACCAUAUCACGCAGCGCUGAUCCGUUUUCUACCUGUA